CGGCCUAUCAGCUUGUUGGUGGGGUAAUGGCUCACCAAGGCGACGACGGGUAGCCGGCCUGAGAGGGUGACCGGCCACACUGGGACUGAGACACGGCCCAGACUCCUACGGGAGGCAGCAGUGGGGAAUAUUGCACAAUGGGCGGAAGCCUGAUGCAGCGACGCCGCGUGAGGGAUGACGGCCUUCGGGUUGUAAACCUCUUUCAGUAGGGAAGAAGCGAGAGUGACGGUACCUGCAGAAGAAGCGCCGGCUAACUACGUGCCAGCAGCCGCGGUAAUACGUAGGGCGCAAGCGUUGUCCGGAAUUAUUGGGCGUAAAGAGCUCGUAGGCGGUUUGUCGCGUCUGCUGUGAAAGCCCGGGGCUCAACCCCGGGUCUGCAGUGGGUACGGGCAGACUAGAGUGCAGUAGGGGAGACUGGAAUUCCUGGUGUAGCGGUGAAAUGCGCAGAUAUCAGGAGGAACACCGAUGGCGAAGGCAGGUCUCUGGGCUGUUACUGACGCUGAGGAGCGAAAGCAUGGGGAGCGAACAGGAUUAGAUACCCUGGUAGUCCAUGCCGUAAACGUUGGGCACUAGGUGUGGGGGACAUUCCACGUUUUCCGCGCCGUAGCUAACGCAUUAAGUGCCCCGCCUGGGGAGUACGG
RNAcentral lists this ribosomal RNA (641 nucleotides) under uncultured bacterium. RNAcentral describes it as "bacterial SSU rRNA". It matches the Rfam family "Bacterial small subunit ribosomal RNA", at positions 234 to 885 of the family's 1533-position model. The record is from RNAcentral.